GACGAACGCUGGCGGCGUGCUUAACACAUGCAAGUCGAACGGAAAGGCCCUGCUUUUGUGGGGUGCUCGAGUGGCGAACGGGUGAGUAACAUGUGAGUAACCUGCCCUUGACUUUGGGAUAACUUCAGGAAACUGGGGCUAAUACCGGAGAGGAGCUCGUGCUGCAUGGGGGGGGUUGGAACUUUUCGUCGGAAGGAGAUGGACUCCCGGCUUAUCAGCUUGUGGGUGGAGUAGUGGCUUACCAAGGCUUUGACGGAUAGCCGGCCUGAGAGCGUGACCGGCGACAUUGGGACUGAGAUAGGCACCAGACUCCUACGGGAGGCAGCAGUGGGGAAUAUUGCACAAUGGGCGGACGCCUGAUGCGGCAACGCCCCGUGCGGGAUGACGGCCUUCGGGUGGUAAAGCGCAUUCGCCUGUGACGAAGCGUGAGUGACGGUAAUAGGAAAAGAAGCACCGGCUAACUACGUG
This 468-nucleotide ribosomal RNA is filed under the name uncultured bacterium. Its description in RNAcentral is "partial 16S ribosomal RNA". It matches the Rfam family "Bacterial small subunit ribosomal RNA", at positions 28 to 507 of the family's 1533-position model. The record is from RNAcentral.